RNA transcript from Cebus imitator (Panamanian white-faced capuchin), 1382 nucleotides. It is a transcript of the gene named zinc transporter ZIP1-like, with no coding region annotated. The transcript is spliced from 2 exons. Lineage: Eukaryota; Metazoa; Chordata; Mammalia; Primates; Cebidae. The record is from RefSeq and is a predicted model, not a curated record.
AUGGAACUGCAGAAUGAAAGAAGUCUGCAAACCGGAGUCACCAAAGAAAGCUGCACUAUAGAGUUGCUUGACCAGCAGCAGACUUGUGUGAAUAAGAAUCAAAUGUUUUUGGGGAGUGGGGAGCUGCACCAUGGGGCCCUGGGAGAGCCCGAACUCCUGGUGUGGCGCCCAGAGGCAGUAGCUUCAGAGUCUCCAGUGCCUGUGAGGCUGGAGGUGAAGUUGGGGGCCCUGGUGCUGCUGCUGGUUCUCACCUUUCUCUGCAGCCUGGUGCCCAUCUGUGCUAUGCCGGCCAAGAGCUAACCACAAAGCCUCAGCUUCCCGCCAGAAAGCCCCGAGCCUAGUAAGCUGUUUUGCCGGGGGCGUCUUUUUGGCCACCUAUCUCCUGGACCUGCUGCCUGACUACCUGGCUGCUAUAGGUGAGGCCCUGGCAGCCUUGCACGUGACGCUCCAGUUCUCGCUGCAAGAGUUCAUCCUGGCCAUGGGCUUCUCCCUCGUCCUGGUGAUGGAGUAGAUCACAUUGGCUUAUAAGCAGCAGUCAGGGCCACCACCUCUGGAGGAAACAAGGGCUCUGCUGGGAACAGUGAAUGGUGGGCUGCAGCAUUGGCAUGAUGGACCAGGGGUUCCACAGGCGAGUGGAGCCCCAGCAACCCUCUCAGCCUUGCGAGCCUGUGUCCUGGCCUUCUCCCUGCCCCUCCACUCUGUAUUCGAGGGGCCGGCAGUAGGGCUGCAGCGAGGUCGGGCUUGGGCCACGGAGCUGUGCCUGGCUUUGCUGCUCCACAAGGGGAUCCUGGCUGUCAGUCUGUCCCUCCGGCUGCUGCAAAGCCACCUGGGGGCACAGGUGGUGGCUGGCUGUGGGAUCCUCUUCUCAUGCAUGACACCUCUAGGCAUCCGGCUGGGUGCAGCUCUGGCAGAGUGGGCAGGACCUCCGCACCAGCUGGCCCAGUCUGUGCUAGAGGGCAUGGCGGCUGGCACCUUUCUCUAUAUUACCUUCCUGGAAAUCCUGCCCCAGGAGCUGGCCCGUUCUGAGCAAAGGAUCCUCAAGGUCAUUCUGCUCCUAGCAGGCUUUGCCCUGCUCGCUGGCCUGCUCUUCAUCCUAAUCUAGGGGGCUUCAAGAGAGGGGCAGGGGAGAUUGAUGAUCAUGUAACCCUGUUCUCCCUUCCCUCCCCCAGUGUGUGGGGAAUAGGAAGGAAUGGGGAAGGGAAGUACUGAGGACCAAAAAGUUCUCUGGGAGCUAAAGAUAGAGCCUUUGGGGCUAUCUGACUAAUGAGUGGGAAGUGGGCAGACAAGAGGCUGGCCCCAGUCCCAAGGAACAAGAGAUGGUCAAGUAGGUGGAGACUGGAUCAGGGGACAUAGGAUUGGGGAAGACACUUGAUUGCUAGAAU